GGGCCCGCACAAGCGGCGGAGCAUGUUGCUUAAUUCGACGCGACGCGAAGAACCUUACCAGGGCUUGACAUGUAGGGAAAAGCCGUGGAGACACGGUGUCCGCAAGGGCCCUACACAGGUGUUGCAUGGCUGUCGUCAGCUCGUGUCGUGAGAUGUUGGGUUAAGUCCCGCAACGAGCGCAACCCUUGUCCUAUGUUGCCAGCGGUUCAAGCCGGGGACUCAUAGGAGACUGCCGGGGUCAACUCGGAGGAAGGUGGGGACGACGUCAAGUCAUCAUGGCCCUUAUGUCCUGGGCUGCAAACAUGCUACAAUGGCCGGUACAGAGGGCUGCAAACCCGCGAGGGGGAGCCAAUCCCAAAAAGCCGGUCUCAGUUCGGAUCGGGGUCUGCAACUCGACCCCGUGAAGUCGGAGUCGCUAGUAAUCGCGGAUCAGCAACGCCGCGGUGAAUACGUUCCCGGGCCUU
This 464-nucleotide ribosomal RNA is filed under the name uncultured bacterium. RNAcentral's name for it is "bacterial SSU rRNA". It matches the Rfam family "Bacterial small subunit ribosomal RNA", at positions 917 to 1382 of the family's 1533-position model. The record is from RNAcentral.